AAAAGACUUAGUCCUAACCUUACAGUUAGUUUUUGCUAAACAUAUACAUGCAAGUGUCCGCGCCCCAGUGUAAAUGCCCUCAGCCCUUUGCCUUAAGGAAAGAGGAGCGGGUAUCAGGCACACUCAGUUUCGUAGCCCAAGACGCCUUGCUCAGCCACACCCCCACGGGUACUCAGCAGUAAUUGACAUUAAGCAAUGAGUGUAAGCUUGACUUAGUUAUAGCAAUUCUAGGGUUGGUAAAUCUUGUGCCAGCCACCGCGGUCACACAAGAAACCCAAAUUAACCGUAUAGCGGCGUAAAGAGUGGUACUACGAUAUCAUAAUAACUAGGAUUGAAAUGCGGCUAGGCUGUCAUAAGCUCAAGAUGCACUUAAAGUCAUCUUUAAGAUGAUCCUAGCAUUUCUGAUCAAUUUAACCCCACGAAAGCUAGGGCACAAACUGGGAUUAGAUACCCCAUUAUGCCUAGCCCUAAAUCUUGAUGCUUGCCAUACCAAAGCAUCCGCCUGAGAACUACGAGCACAAACGCUUAAAACUCUAAGGACUUGGCGGUGCUCCAAACCCACCUAGAGGAGCCUGUUCUGUAAUCGAUAACCCACGAUUCACCCGACCAUCCCUUGCUAGAGCAGCCUACAUACCGCCGUCGCCAGCCCACCUCCCCUGAGAGUUCCACAGUGAGCACAAUAGCCUAAACUCGCUAAUAAGACAGGUCAAGGUAUAGCCUAUGGGGUGGAAGAAAUGGGCUACAUUUUCUACGAUAGGAAACCCACGAAAGAGGANAUGAAACAGUCCCCGGAAGGUGGAUUNNNNNGNNNNNNNNGACAANNNNNNCCUCUUUAAGUCGGCCCUGGAGCACGUACAUACCGCCCGUCACCCUCCUCACAAGCCACCAACUCUCUAAUAAUUAAUAAGCCUCCUGGCUAAAGAUGAGGUAAGUCGUAACAAGGUAAGUGUACCGGAAGGUGCACUUAGUAUAUC
RNAcentral lists this non-coding RNA (974 nucleotides) under Pinguinus impennis (great auk). RNAcentral describes it as "12S ribosomal RNA". It matches the Rfam family "Bacterial small subunit ribosomal RNA". The record is from RNAcentral. Lineage: Eukaryota; Metazoa; Chordata; Aves; Charadriiformes; Laridae.